UCUGUAUGCUGACAAUUUUGUCUUCAUCAGUUUUGGGUUACUACUGCUGAUUUAUAUGUUGGGAUGGAGAGCCUAACAGGGGCCUUCUCAAAUUUCUUGAUAAAGUUUCUAAAAAGCUAUCUCUAUCUAGUGAAUGUCCAUGAUGUAGGAUACUUGUUUUUGCAGCACUUCUGUCCCCACUUCUUUUCUCAUAUUCCGUUUACUUCUCUCGUUGCUAUUGGAGUCCUAUUCGAAAUUCAUUUGCUUAUGUUAGAACUACUGAAGUCAUAUUGAAUUUUGAUUGUCCAGAUUCGAUAUCAAUGGAUUUGUGACAGGGUUUGGGAACCCAGACUGGUCAAGGACUCACGAACCUGCUAGUCAGACGUCUACCGUGGUCAAGACACUUGUUGAAGGAGGAGCCACAUGUACUGGAAGAACUGUUGUAGAUGACAUGGCCUUUGGUAUUAGUGGUGAACAAAGACAUUUUGAUACUCCAACAAAUCCGGCUAUGAAGCUGUUGGAGGCCUUUUGAUAUCAAAUAGGAUUAUGGUGCAAUUUGUCUUUGAAUAUCAGGACUUCUGCUGCCUAUUUUUCUGCAGUAUAUAUAAUCAUUCCGAGUAGAGAAAUAAGGUUUGAAGUCAAGGAGCUUUUUAGCUUUGUUUUGUCCUUUUUAUUAUGUCCCAAAAGCCUGGUAUUUCAGUUGAGAAUGUAUUCGAUCCAUUGUUUA
Long non-coding RNA from Solanum dulcamara, 706 nucleotides. RefSeq lists it as uncharacterized. The record is from RefSeq and is a predicted model, not a curated record. NCBI's taxonomy places the organism in Eukaryota, Viridiplantae, Streptophyta, Magnoliopsida, Solanales, Solanaceae. The transcript has 2 exons.